AUACGUAGGUGACAAGCGUUAUCCGGAUUUACUGGGCGUAAAGGGCGUGUAGGCGGUCUUGCAAGUCAGAAGUGAAAUUCCUGAGCUCAACUCGGGCGCUGCUUCUGAAACUGCAGGACUUGAGUGCUGGAGGGGAUAGCGGAAUUCCUAGUGGAGCGGUAAAAUGCGGAGAUAUUAGGAAGAACACCGGUGGCGAAGGCGGCUAUCUGGACAGUAACUGACGCUGAUGCGCGAAAGCGUGGGGAGCAAACAGGAUUAGAUACCCUGGUAGUCCACGCCCUAAACGAUGAAUACUAGGUGUGGGGGGACUGACCCCUUCCGUGCCGGAGUAAACACAAUAAGUAUUCCACCUGGGGAGUAAGACCGCAAGGUUGAAACUCAAAUGAAUUGGCGGGG
RNAcentral lists this ribosomal RNA (396 nucleotides) under uncultured bacterium. RNAcentral's name for it is "partial 16S ribosomal RNA". It matches the Rfam family "Bacterial small subunit ribosomal RNA", at positions 523 to 918 of the family's 1533-position model. The record is from RNAcentral.